CAUGGAUAACUGUGGUAAUUCUAGAGCUAAUACAUGCAGCAAGCCUUGACCCUUACGGGCAAGGCGCAGUUAUUAGAUCAAAAACCAAUCGGUUGUGUCUUCGGAUGCAGCCGUUAGCUUGGUGACUCUGAGUAACCACAGCGAACCGUAUGGCCUCGUGCUCGACGGUCUGUCAGUCAAGCAACUGCCUUAUCAGCUUGUUGUUAGGUUAUAUGCCUAACAAGGCUUCAACGGGUAACGAACGAUCGGGGUCGGAUAUCGGAGAGGGAGCUUGAGAAACGGCUACCACUUCCAAGGAAGGCAGCAGGCGCGCAAAUUACCCACUCUCGGCAUGAGGAGGUAGCGAUAAAAUGUAUCGAUGCGGGGCCAUUAGUGCCUUCGUAAUCGGAAUGAGUACACUUUAAAUCCUAUAACGAGGACCUAUUGGAGGGCAAGUCUGGUGCCAGCAGCCGCGGUAAUUCCAGCUCCAAUAGCGUAUAUUAAUGCUGCUGCGGUUAAAAAGCUCGUAGUCGGAUCUGGGUUACCGGCGGGUACCGCAUGUUGCUUUACGCAGCAUGUUGUGUACUAUACGUGUCGCUUCGGCGGCACUGCCAGUGUAGUUGUACCCCAUGUGGGUGCGUUACGCUGGUCGCCGGAACCACGAGCCGGGUUGAGCAGCAUGCUCUUUAUUGAGUGUGUUGUUUACUCGGUGCGUUUACUUUGAAAAAAUUGGAGUGCUCAAAGCAAGCGUACAGUCGCUAUGCGGCUUGAACAGUGGUGCAUGGAAUAAUGGAAUAGGGCCUCGGUUCUAUUUUGUUGGUUUUAAGAUAUCGAGGUAAUGAUUAAGAGGGACAGACGGGGACGUUUGUAUUGCGACGUUAGAGGUGAAAUUCUUGGAUCGUCGCA
This 885-nucleotide ribosomal RNA is filed under the name Echiniscus draconis. Its description in RNAcentral is "SSU rRNA". It matches the Rfam family "Eukaryotic small subunit ribosomal RNA", at positions 138 to 932 of the family's 1831-position model. The record is from RNAcentral. Lineage: Eukaryota; Metazoa; Tardigrada; Heterotardigrada; Echiniscoidea; Echiniscidae.